CAAGUAGAACGGGUGACCGCUCGCCGCGAGGUGAGAGGAAAGUCCGAGCUCCACCGGGCAGGAUGCUGGGUAAUACCCAGGAGGGGUGACCCUAUGGAAAGUGCCACAGAAACAUACCGCCAGCGGCCCCGAUUAUAUCGGGGUGCGGGUAAGGGUGAAAUGGUGAGGCAAGAGCUCACCAGCGGCUGGGUGACCAGCCGGCUGUGAAAACCCCGUCUGGAGCAAGACCAAAUAGGGGGACGAAGGAUGCCCGGCCUGAUCCCCGGGUUGGUCGCUAGACCCUGAUGGUAACAUCCGGGCGAGAUAGAUGGCCACCGUCCCGAUUGUACCGGGAUACAGAAUUCGGCUUACAGGUUUACUUGCCCC
RNAcentral lists this RNase P RNA (366 nucleotides) under Chloroflexota bacterium. Its description in RNAcentral is "Chloroflexi bacterium (groundwater metagenome) RNase P RNA component class A". It matches the Rfam family "Bacterial RNase P class A". Rfam says of the family: Ribonuclease P (RNase P) is a ubiquitous endoribonuclease, found in archaea, bacteria and eukarya as well as chloroplasts and mitochondria. Its best characterised activity is the generation of mature 5'-ends of tRNAs by cleaving the 5'-leader elements of precursor-tRNAs. Cellular RNase Ps are ribonucleoproteins. Lineage: Bacteria; Bacillati; Chloroflexota. The record is from RNAcentral.